GCGGCCCGGCCUCUGUUCCGCGCGGGCGGGGCUGUGCUGCGGCCUGGCCCUGCCCUGGUCUGGGGCUGCGGCCUGGCCCUGCCCUGGUCUGGGCCUGCCGGCUUAGGGCUCCCGGUGCUGCUCCGCGGAGGGUGCGCGCGCAGGGGUGGCGCUGGGGACCCCCAGGCGGGAGCGUGCUUGUCGGGCUUUGCUGCCAUGGCUGUGCCCUGUGCCCUGGCUCUUUCUCGCUGGCGUUGAGAGGGAAGCCCGUUUGUGCGCCAAUAAUGUGUUAAAUGCCCUGAUUGAAUUCGCUGACUUGUAGGUAAAGGAGGCAAAUUUAAUGAGAUAAAAAGUGUUAGAAGCUAAUAAAUGGUUAUCAUAAGGUUGUUUUCCUCGAUUUUUUGGUUUAAGGUGUUAUGUAAUUUAAUUUGUAAUGUCAGAAUCUGACCCAGUUAUUCAGUGGGUGUAGUGUAGUUUGUAGAGAUUUAGAAGGACGGAAAACGUUUUAAGGAUUUUUUGUAUGUAUGUGUUUUAAGUCAAAGGAAAUAGCUUUAGAGAACACUAAUGGGGAAAAAUUGUAUUCUCAGUAAUACUCUUACACCUUAGAUUGCUGCUUUUGUUGAGUAAAAGAAUGUCCUUGAUAAAACUGACACUGUCUUUUAGUUACUUUAAUAUCUAGAUAAUUGAACAGUUAGUAAUCAGCAGUUUUCUUCCAUGUGAUAGGUGACCAUCAUUGGGCCCGCCACCGUGAGUGUCCCUGCUGCUGGCCUCUCCCGAGUGCCAGGCCCGAGUGGCUGCGCCCGAUUUUCCUGUGCCUCUUCUGGGGGAGAUCUGGGGCAAGCCUGUUGUCCAGCACCUUUAGGGUUUUCAGGGGCAAAGGGGAAGUGCUAGGUGGCCAAGGGGUUGCUCGUGGUUCUGGGUCAUACUGGCUGAUCUAAGAAUCUAAAGUGUGUAAUUUGAAUUAUUCUUUCUCUUUGUCUCUGUUUCUGAAUUUUUCUUUUUUCUUUUUUUUUUUUUUGCCUUGCUAUAUAGAAAUCCAUCUUUUCUACGUGCACACAAAAGAAAUAACUAAGGAAUUGCUGAAUGUGAGAUAAGUGUUUCUUAUCUUAGUCAGGAGACCGUACCUAAGGAGGUUACUGAAGACAACUCUCUAAGGAGGCGAUACCAGAAUAGAGCUUUUCAGCUGGGCGUGAUUUUACCCUUGUCUCAACCCCUGGAUGUUUAAGCAAUGUCUGCAGAGUUUUCUUUGGCAUCACUUGAGAUGUAUGGGGCCAUUGGCAUCUUAAUAGGUGGAGACCAGGGUGCCAUUAAAUAUUCUACAUUGUACAAGGCAGCCUCCAGCCAGAAAGAAUAUUCAUCUCAAAAUACCCAUAAUGCCAUGACUGAGAAAUCUUGUUCUAACUUUAAGAAAAAAAGAUGAUGUAAAACAUUGGAGGAAAUUUAAAGGGACAUUUUAGUUUUACAUUCACUGAUAGGAAAGGUGGGAACAUAUUCACCAUUCUCCUGCAUCCUAGCUCUCAUCAAUUACAUAACAAUUUAUUCAAAAUUCUACAUAAUAGAAUAAUUCUGUGUGACUUAGGAAGAACGGCACACCGCUCAUCUUUUCACUUCUUGGAGGCAGUGUUUCUUUAAAUAGGUAUCUCAGUGUUUAUAAAUAACAUGCAUAUAAUCAUUCUUGACUUGAGGGAGGCUUUUAGUUUGUUUGUUUUAGUUCUGCCUUCUGAGUAUGAGAGAGGAAGGCUUAGCAGCUGUCUUUGAUUUCAGCUGGUCCUCAUCCCAUACCACCACCAGAAUCAAACAUACACCCUCAUUAUACCCUCUUCCUUUUCCGAAGCAUUUGUAGUUUUGGUUAAACAUUGUUGUGACUAUUUAAAUGAGUUAAUAUGUCUACAACCAUCCUAUGCAUAUAAAUAGUUUUUAUUUUUUAAUAACUGGGUAAUGUGCUUUACAGUGUAGCCAUGUAAUAUGUGGUAACUUUUCCCCUCAUGCACAACUUUUGUGCACGUUGGCGUUACUGCUGCUUUAUUAUCUGUGUAUUUAGUUAAUCUAACCCAACUUCCCCAGCUCUGUAUGUCUGUCUCCCAGUAAAUUCAGAUGCCUGUGGUACCUGAUCUAGGUUGUGAUGCUGUGUCAGCACCUCACAUCCACAGGUGCUGCACCAAUUAGGAAUGAAAAUGAUUACCCUCCUUUGCAUUUGUACUGAAUAGAGACUUGUUAUUCUCCAAGCAGUUCAGUUAACAGCUAUUCGCAUAGCACUUACAUUGUAUUAAGUCGUACCACACAGUUCCUAUGCCAUUGUAUAGAAUGGAUUUUGGUAUCAGCAUGGUACCAUCUGCCCAUGGCGCUAAAGGGAGGCUGUGCUGAUAGACACUGUUUUCAUCUGGGAUUUUGCUUUCACUCAGAUGAGGGCGCGCCUUCCCUUUCCUGGGCUGAAACCAUUUUUACUGCGUUGCUUGUUCUCUUUCUGGGUUUGCAUUUAGGUUCUGGUGUAAUGGACCUUGAGAAGACAGCAUAGGAAAUAUCCUGGGUGUGGGUGUAAAAUUCUAAAUCCGAAGCCAGUUCCCUAGAGUUUGGAAGGCUUUGCUCCUUUGUAAUCUCACUUGCAGUGUUGCUGAAAUUGGUCAUUGUGAAAUCAUUUAGACAUCUUUUCUGUGUUGCCUUUUCUCCUUCUAUCCACCAGUCAGUGGAAUUUCUUCAGGUCCCCCACCACCACCACAUGCGUUUUUUUCUGUUUUCUUUCUGUUACACAGAUUAUGUGCUCCCUGAACCAGAAUUCUGGGGAUUCUCCUUUCUUGUUGUCUGUGUCAUUGAAUUUUUGGACUACUGUCUGAGAAAUGUCCCUUGCUGCAACAUUUUUAAUUACCAAAAGACCGAGAGUUAUUUUGGGUUUUUCCAGCCUCUCCAGGUACAGUGGACCCUCAAGUUAGGACCGGCCUGACAUAUGAACAACUUGGGUUAAGUUAAUGGAAGAUUCGUCUGCCUCACGUUAUCCAUAGCGUGUAUUUAGGUAAAUAUCCAGAUCUCAGCUGUAUUGACUUACAACCAACUUGAGUUACAACCAGCCCUUGGGAACCAAUCAAGUUCAUAAGUCAAGGGUCCACUGUAUUGGGGUUACAGGCAUACUAUACCACGCUCAGUUCACCCUGAGGUUUUUUUUCUGUUUCAUGCCAUCUAGUGCCUAUUUCCUGGAAUUACUACUCUUAUCUCUUAAGUAUACUUAUUGUCUUUAUGCUUUCAUUUCUUUGCAUAGUUUGUUUCUUUUAAGAUUUUUCCACCCAAUUUCUUUUCUUGGUAGAGUUUUCUGUGGAAUAUUUAGGAAUGAGACCCAGAAGCACGUGGUAGAACUUGUCAGCUGACUUCACAAUGAAGUGGACUAGUGGUGCCAUUUUGUUACAAAAGCUGAUGCAAGUAUUUAGGGCAGUUGAUGUGUCCUGAGAACUCUUCCAGUUUCCUGCCAAGAAAGCUUUCCCAUGGAACCAAGAAUG
Non-coding RNA from Heterocephalus glaber (naked mole-rat), 3464 nucleotides. Lineage: Eukaryota; Metazoa; Chordata; Mammalia; Rodentia; Bathyergidae. The record is from RefSeq and is a predicted model, not a curated record.